GUGAGGAAUUUUCCGCAAUGGGCGAAAGCCUGACGGAGCAAUGCCGCGUGAAGGAUGAAGGCCUAUGGGUUGUAAACUUCUUUUCUUAGAGAAGAAUAUUGACGGUAUCUGAGGAAUAAGGAUCGGCUAACUCCGUGCCAGCAGCCGCGGUAAUACGGAGGAUCCAAGCGUUAUCCUGAAUCAUUGGGUUUAAAGGGUCCGUAGGCGGUUUAAUAAGUCAGUGGUGAAAGCCCAUCGCUAAACGAUGGAACGGCAAUUGAUACUGUGAGACUUGAAUUACAAGGAAGUAACUAGAAUAUGUAGUGUAGCGGUGAAAUGCUUAGAUAUUACAUGGAAUACCAAUUGCGAAGGCAGGUUACUACUUGUGGAUUGACGCUGAUGGACGAAAGCGUGGGGAGCGAACAGGAUUAGAUACCCCGGUAGUCC
RNAcentral lists this ribosomal RNA (426 nucleotides) under uncultured bacterium. Its description in RNAcentral is "partial 16S ribosomal RNA". It matches the Rfam family "Bacterial small subunit ribosomal RNA", at positions 354 to 796 of the family's 1533-position model. The record is from RNAcentral.